UACGUAGGGGGCGAGCGUUGUCCGGAAUCAUUGGGCGUAAAGCGCGUGUAGGCGGCCCGGUAAGUCGGCUGUGAAAGUCCAGGGCUCAACCCUGGGAUGCCGGUCGAUACUGCCGGACUAGAGUUCGGAAGAGGCGAGUGGAAUUCCCGGUGUAGCGGUGAAAUGCGCAGAUAUCGGGAGGAACACCUAUGGCGAAGGCAGCUCGCUGGGACGUUACUGACGCUGAGACGCGAAAGCGUGGGGAGCAAACAGG
This 253-nucleotide ribosomal RNA is filed under the name uncultured bacterium. RNAcentral describes it as "partial 16S ribosomal RNA". It matches the Rfam family "Bacterial small subunit ribosomal RNA", at positions 524 to 776 of the family's 1533-position model. The record is from RNAcentral.